This 608-nucleotide ribosomal RNA is filed under the name Clostridioides difficile. RNAcentral's name for it is "bacterial SSU rRNA". It matches the Rfam family "Bacterial small subunit ribosomal RNA", at positions 296 to 923 of the family's 1533-position model. Lineage: Bacteria; Bacillati; Bacillota; Clostridia; Peptostreptococcales; Peptostreptococcaceae. The record is from RNAcentral.
GAGGGUGAUCGGCCACAUUGGAACUGAGACACGGUCCAAACUCCUACGGGAGGCAGCAGUGGGGAAUAUUGCACAAUGGGCGAAAGCCUGAUGCAGCAACGCCGCGUGAGUGAUGAAGGCCUUCGGGUCGUAAAACUCUGUCCUCAAGGAAGAUAAUGACGGUACUUGAGGAGGAAGCCCCGGCUAACUACGUGCCAGCAGCCGCGGUAAUACGUAGGGGGCUAGCGUUAUCCGGAUUUACUGGGCGUAAAGGGUGCGUAGGCGGUCUUUCAAGUCAGGAGUGAAAGGCUACGGCUCAACCGUAGUAAGCUCUUGAAACUGGGAGACUUGAGUGCAGGAGAGGAGAGUGGAAUUCCUAGUGUAGCGGUGAAAUGCGUAGAUAUUAGGAGGAACACCAGUUGCGAAGGCGGCUCUCUGGACUGUAACUGACGCUGAGGCACGAAAGCGUGGGGAGCAAACAGGAUUAGAUACCCUGGUAGUCCACGCUGUAAACGAUGAGUACUAGGUGUCGGGGGUUACCCCCCUCGGUGCCGCAGCUAACGCAUUAAGUACUCCGCCUGGGAAGUACGCUCGCAAGAGUGAAACGCAAAGGAAUUGACGGGGACCCG